RNAcentral lists this ribosomal RNA (217 nucleotides) under uncultured bacterium. Its description in RNAcentral is "partial 16S ribosomal RNA". It matches the Rfam family "Bacterial small subunit ribosomal RNA", at positions 28 to 222 of the family's 1533-position model. The record is from RNAcentral.
GACGAACGCUGGCGGCGUGCCUAAUACAUGCAAGUCGAACGAACUCUGGUAUUGAUUGGUGCUUACAUCAUGAUUUACAUUUGAGUGAGUGGCGAACUGGUGAGUAACACGUGGGAAACCUGCCCAGAAGUGGGGGAUAACACUUUGGAAACAGAUGCUAAUACCGCAUAACAACUUGGACCGCACGGUCCGAGCUUGAAAGAUGGCUUCGGCUAUC